GAUGAACGCUGGCGGCGUGCCUAAUACAUGCAAGUCGAGCGAACGGACGAGAAGCUUGCUUUUCUGAUGUUAGCGGCGGACGGGUGAGUAACACGUGGAUAACCUACCUAUAAGACUGGGAUAACUUCGGGAAACCGGAGCUAAUACCGGAUAAUAUUUUGAACCGCAUGGUUCAAAAGUGAAAGACGGUCUUUCUGUCACUUAUAGAUGGAUCCGCGCUGCAUUAGCUAGUUGGUAAGGUAACGGCUUACCAAGGCAACGAUGCAUAGCCGACCUGAGAGGGUGAUCGGCCACACUGGAACUGAGACACGGUCCAGACUCCGACGGGAGGCAGCAGUAGGGAAUAUUCCGCAAUGGGCGAAAGCCUGACGGAGCAACGCCGCGUGAGUGAUGAAGGUCUUCGGAUCGUAAAACUCUGUUAUUAGGGAAGAACAUAUGUGUAAGUAACUGUGCACAUCUUGACGGUACCUAAUCAGAAAGCCACGGCUAACUACGUG
This 497-nucleotide ribosomal RNA is filed under the name uncultured bacterium. RNAcentral's name for it is "partial 16S ribosomal RNA". It matches the Rfam family "Bacterial small subunit ribosomal RNA", at positions 28 to 507 of the family's 1533-position model. The record is from RNAcentral.